GCGGCUAUAGCUCAGUGGUAGAACACAUGCUUAGCAUGCAGGAGGUCCUGGGUUCAAUCCCCAGUACCUCCA
This 72-nucleotide transfer RNA is filed under the name Camelus bactrianus (Bactrian camel). It matches the Rfam family "tRNA". Rfam says of the family: Transfer RNA (tRNA) molecules are approximately 80 nucleotides in length. Lineage: Eukaryota; Metazoa; Chordata; Mammalia; Artiodactyla; Camelidae. The record is from Rfam by way of RNAcentral. RNAcentral also lists the same sequence under 2 other names.